This is a non-coding RNA of Procambarus clarkii (red swamp crayfish), 363 nucleotides long. The record is from RefSeq and is a predicted model, not a curated record. Lineage: Eukaryota; Metazoa; Arthropoda; Malacostraca; Decapoda; Cambaridae.
UAAUUGACCGGACCAGCUCGACCAGAGAGGCGGAUCCCACAGGGCAGAUCUUCAAGAGGGGCCAUGUGUGUCAUGGCGUGUACUUCCCCACACUCACCAACAGCUUCCGGGACCAGCAGCUGGAGGUGGCUUUCCAGCGGUACUCCCACAGACAGCGGCAGAAGUCACUCAUCAUGGUGAACGGGGUGGACCUGGCCCUCAAGCUGGUCCUCCUCGCCAUCGUUCUGCUCCAGGAGAAAAACCAGUAUACUGCAGAGAUCAUCUACUCCCUGGGCUGGAUGGUUGUAAAUGCCGUCCUGUGCGUGUUGUCGUGGUGGCGCUGCUUCGCUAACAACUACCUGCACUGGGGCGCCCUCUGCACCU